GAUCAUGGCUCAGGAUGAACGCUAGCGACAGGCUUAACACAUGCAAGUCGAACGGUAACAUAAAGAAGCUUGCUUCUUUGAUGACGAGUGGCGGACGGGUGAGUAAUGCUUGGGAAUCUAGCUUAUGGAGGGGGAUAGCUACGGGAAACUGUAGCUAAUACCGCGUAGAAUCGAGAGAUGAAAGUGUGGGACCUUCGGGCCACAUGCCAUAGGAUGAGCCCAACGUGGGAGUUAGG
RNAcentral lists this ribosomal RNA (236 nucleotides) under uncultured bacterium. RNAcentral describes it as "partial 16S ribosomal RNA". It matches the Rfam family "Bacterial small subunit ribosomal RNA", at positions 15 to 249 of the family's 1533-position model. The record is from RNAcentral.